This 761-nucleotide ribosomal RNA is filed under the name Paraisaria amazonica. Its description in RNAcentral is "partial 28S large subunit ribosomal RNA". It matches the Rfam family "Eukaryotic large subunit ribosomal RNA", at positions 141 to 929 of the family's 3401-position model. The record is from RNAcentral. Lineage: Eukaryota; Fungi; Ascomycota; Sordariomycetes; Hypocreales; Ophiocordycipitaceae.
AGAAGUAUUUUUCCCAGGGCGCCUUCGGCGCGGCGCCUUCCGAGUUCCCUGGAACGGGACGCCACAGAGGGUGAGAGCCCCGUACGGUCGGACGCCCAGCCGGCGUAAAGCCCCUUCGACGAGUCGAGUAGUUUGGGAAUGCUGCUCAAAACGGGAGGUAUAUGUCUUCUAAAGCUAAAUACCGGCCAGAGACCGAUAGCGCACAAGUAGAGUGAUCGAAAGAUGAAAAGCACUUUGGAAAGAGGGUUAAACAGUACGUGAAAUUGUUGAAAGGGAAGCGCUCGCGACCAGACGCGGGACCCGCGAAUCACGCCAGCGUUCUCGCCGGUGCGCUCCGCGGGCCCAGGCCAGCAUCGGCCCGCCGCGGGGGACAAAGGCGCCGGGAACGUGGCUCCCCCCGGGGAGUGUUAUAGCCCGGUGCGUAAUGCCCUGCGGCGGACCGAGGCACGCGCUUCGCAAGGAUGCUGGCGUAAUGGUCAUCAGCGACCCGUCUUGAAACACGGACCAAGGAGUCGUCCUCGUAUGCGAGUGUUCGGGUGUCAAACCCCUACGCGGAAUGAAAGUGAACGCAGGUGAGAGCCUCGGCGCAUCAUCGACCGAUCCUGAUGUUCUCGGAUGGAUUUGAGUAAGAGCAUACGGGGCCGGACCCGAAAGAAGGUGAACUAUGCCUGCGUAGGGUGAAGCCAGAGGAAACUCUGGUGGAGGCUCGCAGCGGUUCUGACGUGCAAAUCGAUCGUCAAACGUGGGCAUGGGGGCGAAAG